This is a long non-coding RNA of Hippocampus comes (tiger tail seahorse), 1049 nucleotides long. RefSeq lists it as uncharacterized. The transcript is spliced from 2 exons. NCBI's taxonomy places the organism in Eukaryota, Metazoa, Chordata, Actinopteri, Syngnathiformes, Syngnathidae. The record is from RefSeq and is a predicted model, not a curated record.
UCUCGGUUGCGCCUCCCGACUUCAAUUUUUGUUUUGUUUUGUUUUCUCUCCAAUUUUCAAGUUGUUCUCCUCAAGUUUCCCCCCCCCCCUCAGCUACAUCAAGGAGUUUGUCCACGGCGACUUUGGCCGCACGAAACCAAAUUUGUGUCAGCUACUCGACACGCACGCCGACAUACUGGAACUUGAUGUGGAGUCCGUCGACGUGGACUGGCCUCCCGCCCUGCCGGACUAAAGCUCCCCCUCUCACGGGGGGCCCAAUCCGCAACCGACGCGGCCUAAACGGGUCGGGCCCACGAAGGAUGCCUUCCGUGUCAUCAAAACGCUUUUCUGGUCAGGACGGGCGGGUCCAAUCCGGAUUGUCCGUUUGGCGGCAAAAUGGACAAAAAGGAUCUCCGUGCCGAUGUGCUUGUCACAGAUUUUGUUUUUUUUGUUUUGCUACUCCCAAAAAAAAUAAAAAAAAUUCAACCGCAAUCAAACUUGUGUGCUUCACGUCGUCUUAAGUCACGAUCCGAAUCCCCCGCACAACACAAUCCCGUGUCGUCGAUGAGCAAUUUUCAGCUACUUGUUGUCAAAGGUGGCAAUUGUUCCAGCUGAUUCUUUUGCUUUUUUUUUUUUUUUAAAUGCCACGUUUUGUUUUGACUUCAUGGAAUUCUUUUCUUUCGAGCCUUUUCUUGUCAAUCUUUUUCAAAUAUGCUUCGUCUUCGUUUUUGAUUGUGAGUUGUUUAACAUAUGGAGCGAUUGUCGAGUGACAGAAAAGAUCGCCAACGAUCGUGGAUGUUGAUCGUUUUGUCAAUGUAAGGUGUGGUUUCACUCCUUUUUCUUUUUUUUAUUUGAAAGCAUUUUCAGCAUUGACAACGGGGGAGGGGCGGCGGCAAUACGACAGGAUGGAAAUUGCUCACUGUCAUAAAAAAAUGAAGAAGAGAGAAAGUUGAAAUGUAUUUGUUUUAAUUGAAAAUAAAUACACAGAGCACAGCAAAGCAAGUCCACGACUGGGUUCUUUGCCUAACGUUUUGGUAAGAAAACAAAAACAAAAACAAACAAUCCCCAAA